GGGGGCGAAACAGGAUCGACGAGGGCGUAAAGGGUGUGUUUUCGCUCGGCAUGGUACCACCGUUAUCGGACUAAAACUUAUAGUUGCUAAUGACAACAAUAAGGCUCCGGUCGCUCUCGCCGCUUAAGCGGUGCGAGAACUGGGAAUUGAAGUCCUACGCUCCUAGCCGGGCAUAGGCGGGGUCCGCAGGCACCUGGCAACAGAAGCCUGCAUU
RNAcentral lists this transfer-messenger RNA (214 nucleotides) under Pelagibacterium halotolerans B2. RNAcentral describes it as "transfer-messenger RNA Pelag_halot_B2". It matches the Rfam family "Alphaproteobacteria transfer-messenger RNA", at positions 148 to 355 of the family's 355-position model. Rfam says of the family: Bacterial tmRNA, also known as 10Sa RNA or SsrA, is named for its dual tRNA and mRNA-like properties. The record is from RNAcentral. Lineage: Bacteria; Pseudomonadati; Pseudomonadota; Alphaproteobacteria; Hyphomicrobiales; Devosiaceae.